CGUCAUUCAUGGCAACAUGUCUGAGGUCCGGGCAGGAGUCAGCAGAGGUCAUAGUAGUUCGCCACUGGCGAACGAAGGAC
This is a non-coding RNA of Desulfobulbus sp. Tol-SR, 80 nucleotides long. Lineage: Bacteria; Pseudomonadati; Thermodesulfobacteriota; Desulfobulbia; Desulfobulbales; Desulfobulbaceae. The record is from Rfam.